This 963-nucleotide ribosomal RNA is filed under the name Triticum aestivum (bread wheat). RNAcentral describes it as "partial small subunit ribosomal RNA". The record is from RNAcentral. Lineage: Eukaryota; Viridiplantae; Streptophyta; Magnoliopsida; Poales; Poaceae.
AGGGUCCGGGUUGGAUCAGCGGCUCCGGGGCGGACUCCAUGUCCGAUGCAGGCGUCCGCAUUGGAGAAUGCAAUCAGGAGUUCCGCCGAUAAUCCAGGAGAUGAGGUGACAGUACCUAAACUUGGCACUACCUUUGAUUCUCUGGAAGAGGCCUAUGACUUUUACAAUCUCUACUCGUGGGAGAAGGGAUUUGGUAUAAGAUACGGAAAGAGCCGGUUAAAUAUCCGGAGGACAAAGUGCAUGCAGGAAAUUGUUUGUGGUUGCGCGGGGAAGCCUGUUUUAGAGAAUACACGAUCAUGCCGAUGCAACUGUCCAGCGCUGAUCAGAUUGCUGAGAUUGGAAGACAACGGAUGGUACAUAGCGGAGCACAGAGAGAAGCACAACCAUUCGCUGUCUCCAAACUGUGGGGAGACCAUACACUGGCCUUCGCACAAGUGCAUAGAUGCUUACAGCAAGGAUUUGAUAAAGCAGUUGAAGCAGAACAUUUUUAACCUAAGCAAAAUUUACAGCAUAAUUGGUAGUUUUUUUGGUACGAUGGAGGAGGUCCCCUUCACGAAGCGAUCAUUGAAGACAUUAUGCGGGAAGUUAGGACCUGAACAGGCAGAUGGUGAUGUGAGAAAGACAAUGGAAGUCUUCAAGGAGUUGGGUGCAAACGAUCCACACUUCACGUACCGAGUGCAGACAGACGGGGAAGGGCGGAUAAAGGGCCUGAUGUGGACCAAUGGCAGCAGCCGGUUGCAGUACAGUUUUUUCGGGGAUGCGGUUACGUUCAAUACGACCUACAGGAGCAGUUUGUACGAUAUGAUGUUCGGUUUGUUUGUGGGUGUAAACAACCAUUUCCAGAGUGUGCUCCUGGCCGGGGUGCUGAUCAGAGAUGAGACUGUCGAAAGCUUGGAGUGGGUUUUUUCAGAGUUCUUACAUAUGAUGGGUGGGGGCUGCUCCGAAAACAAUACUAACAGGUAA